This is a small nuclear RNA of Monodelphis domestica (gray short-tailed opossum), 107 nucleotides long. Lineage: Eukaryota; Metazoa; Chordata; Mammalia; Didelphimorphia; Didelphidae. The record is from Ensembl.
GUGCUCAUUUCAGUAGUUCAUAUACUAAAAUUAGAAUGAAAAAGAGAAGAUUAUCAUGAUCCUUACACUAGAAUGAUCCUCAAAUUUGUGAAGCAUUCCAUAUUUUU